Molecule: ribosomal RNA, 460 nt
Filed under: uncultured bacterium
Lineage: Bacteria
Description: partial 16S ribosomal RNA
Rfam family: Bacterial small subunit ribosomal RNA
Source: RNAcentral
CCUACGGGAGGCAGCAGUGAGGAAUAUUGGUCAAUGGACGAGAGUCUGAACCAGCCAAGUAGCGUGAAGGAUGACUGCCCUAUGGGUUGUAAACUUCUUUUAUAUGGGAAUAAAACGUUCCACGUGUGGGAUUUUGUAUGUACCAUAUGAAUAAGGAUCGGCUAACUCCGUGCCAGCAGCCGCGGUAAUACGGAGGAUCCGAGCGUUAUCCGGAUUUAUUGGGUUUAAAGGGAGCGUAGGUGGAUUGUUAAGUCAGUUGUGAAAGUUUGCGGCUCAACCGUAAAAUUGCAGUUGAAACUGGCAGUCUUGAGUACAGUAGAGGUGGGCGGAAUUCGUGGUGUAGCGGUGAAAUGCUUAGAUAUCACGAAAAACUCCGAUUGCGAAGGCAGUUCACUGGACUGCAACUGACACUGAGGCUCGAAAGUGUGGGUAUCAAACAGGAUUAGAUACCCCAGUAGUC